UGCAUAUACGCCCGCAUAUGCGCUAUGCGGUGGAUAAUAUGGACACUACACACCGCCUUUUGGAAUAUGGGGUCUUUGUGUUAGAUAAGUUGAAUCGCUUCUUCGAGACUAAACUUUCACUUCGAGACAUAGUUGUAUCAUUUGAUGCUUUGCGCACACAUGGGAUACUUGUGUGUCCGGUUGGGCUUCUGCGCAGGGUGUGAUAGGUUCUAGCUCUACACAAAUCUCACCAAGUUCAUCAUGAUGGGGUAGGUGGAGUGGAUGAUAGAAAACGCACAAGCAUGUUCGUCUUCAAGUGUGGACACGAACGGUGGAUUUUGACUGACUAGGAGUAAGGCUGGAAGGAGCUUACAUCCAUUUACUGUGACAGUCGAUCAACAGAUACCAGGACAAAAAAUCCGGGGCACCAUUGUCGCACCAAACAUAUUGAAAUUUACUGCCAUUUCAUUUGGAAAAGUGGCGAAUGGCGACAUCGAGUUGGCGCAUCAAGUCAAGAGCAACUAGUGGAUUUUUUUUCACCAAGCCUCUUAACUCUGAAAUAUAUUAUUUGAAGGAGUUAGAGUCACAGAGGUCCCGUGGGGUUGUGAUUAAGAUAAGACCAAAUCUAAUUUAGUUUUGAUAAUAUUAUUAGCUUUUCCUUGGAAAAGUUAGUAGAUGGUUUGGACAUAUUUGUUUUUUGGCUAAUCUCUUUGUUAGCUAAUGACCUUAUUUAUUACCUAUACACCAUCAAAACUAGGGGCAAGUCGUUAAGUAGCUUUCUAGUAGUCAUAAUUAAGCAUCAGGCAUAAAAAGAAAUGUCAUGUCCUGAAACUAUCUUAUAAGUCUAUUAAAAUAAUAAUAAUAAAAAAAUCUAUGAGUUGCUCUUUACAGUAAUAUUACAUUCUGUUGCAGAAACUAGGUCGGCCGCAAUCUUAAAAUCUCUUUUAAAGAGUUUUCCAAUGAUGUUAAUCUUUAACCAUACGAAUAUUACUACUAUAUAUUGAAAUGUACAUAACUAAUGAAACACGAAAACAGAUGUACGAAAAAAACACAAAUAUUUAGAAAGAAAAUAAUGAGACUCAGUACCAGAUAAAGAAACUGAUUAAUUAGUUAGGGUAACUACUCUCUUACAGAAUUUGUACGGUUUCACCGUCUAUGAAUAUAUAAGGAACGUGAGCAAUAAGUUGCCAGUCUAGUCCUUGAUCCUUUACGCAGCGCUCCUUCAGCAAAGGGCACCCCCCAGAUAUACAAUUCUUUAAGCAAAGCUGGUAGGCCAUUCUCUGGCAAUGAUCUAAUCUCAGGGCAGAGGCCUAUUGACAACUUCUUGAUGGAGGAAAAGGUUACUAGAGAAGCAGGAAGGCUCUGCAAAUUUCCACACUCGGAGAGUUGUAGUUCUUCGAGUGAGACUAGUUUCUGGAACCAUUCUUCCUGCUCUACUGUGAAGUAAGCAAGAUGAAUGCAGUUGUGAAGGACAAUACGAAUAUAACUAUAUAUUGAAAUAUACAUAACUAAUGAAUCAUGAAAACAGAUGUUCAAAAACCAUACAAAGAUUAGAAAUAAAAAAAUGAGACUCAGUACCAGAUAAUGAAAC
Molecule: long non-coding RNA, 1570 nt
Organism: Ananas comosus (pineapple)
Lineage: Eukaryota; Viridiplantae; Streptophyta; Magnoliopsida; Poales; Bromeliaceae
Exons: 4
Source: RefSeq, a predicted model, not a curated record